This is a long non-coding RNA of Telopea speciosissima, 290 nucleotides long. RefSeq lists it as uncharacterized. The transcript is spliced from 2 exons. The record is from RefSeq and is a predicted model, not a curated record. NCBI's taxonomy places the organism in Eukaryota, Viridiplantae, Streptophyta, Magnoliopsida, Proteales, Proteaceae.
AUAUAGGGUUAUCUCACAUUAGCAACAACCGACUUUUACAGAACACAGUUUUCUGAGGACGAGUUCAUUAACACUGGGAAAUAUCCUCUUACAAUGAAUUCAUUAAGAAGUGUGAAGACCUUGAUAAGAUUACUGUCAGUUAUGUAUUUGCUCUCCAACUCAUGCAGGUCCCACUAGUAACUGAGGAGGUUGUUGUUGCUGUUCUUGAUUUGUAUCCUACACUUUUAUCAUUUGUUCAUGCUUCCGGUAAGCAAAGUUUUAUGGAGUUAAAACAAAAGGUUUCCUGGACC